This 376-nucleotide ribosomal RNA is filed under the name uncultured bacterium. RNAcentral's name for it is "bacterial SSU rRNA". It matches the Rfam family "Bacterial small subunit ribosomal RNA", at positions 523 to 898 of the family's 1533-position model. The record is from RNAcentral.
AUACGGAGGGAGCUAGCGUUGUUCGGAAUUACUGGGCGUAAAGCGCACGUAGGCGGCUUUGUAAGUCAGAGGUGAAAGCCUGGAGCUCAACUCCAGAACUGCCUUUGAGACUGCAUCGCUUGAAUCCAGGAGAGGUGAGUGGAAUUCCGAGUGUAGAGGUGAAAUUCGUAGAUAUUCGGAAGAACACCAGUGGCGAAGGCGGCUCACUGGACUGGUAUUGACGCUGAGGUGCGAAAGUGUGGGGAGCAAACAGGAUUAGAUACCCUGGUAGUCCACGCCGUAAACGAUGAUAACUAGCUGUCCGGGCACUUGGUGCUUGGGUGGCGCAGCUAACGCAUUAAGUUAUCCGCCUGGGGAGUACGGUCGCAAGAUUAAA